UACAGAGGGUGCAAGCGUUAAUCGGAAUUACUGGGCGUAAAGCGUGCGUAGACGGUUAUGUAAGUCGGGUGUGAAAACCCCGGGCUCAACCUGGGAAUGCCAUUCGAGACUGCAUAGCUAGGGUGCGGAAGAGGGAAGCGGAAUUUCCGGUGUAGCGGUGAAAUGCGUAGAUAUCGGAAGGAACACCAGUGGCGAAAGCGGCUUCCUGGUCCAGCACCGACGUUCAGGCACGAAAGCGUGGGGAGCAAACAGG
RNAcentral lists this ribosomal RNA (253 nucleotides) under uncultured bacterium. RNAcentral describes it as "partial 16S ribosomal RNA". It matches the Rfam family "Bacterial small subunit ribosomal RNA", at positions 524 to 776 of the family's 1533-position model. The record is from RNAcentral.